GUGGGGAAUCUUGCGCAAUGGGCGAAAGCCUGAUCCAGCCAUGCCGCGUGAACGAUGAAGGCCUUCGGGUUGUAAAGUUCUUUAGCCGAUGAUUAUAAUGACUGUAGUCGGAAAAUAAGCCCCGGCUAACUUCGUGCCAGCAGCCGCGGUAAUACGAAGGGGGCGAGCGUUAUUCGGAAUCACUGGGCGUAAAGCGUGCGUAGGCGGUUUUGUAAGUUAGGAGUGAAAGCCCAGGGCUCAACCUUGGAAUUGCUCUUAAAACUGCAAGGCUCGAAGCUCGGAGAGGAGAGCGGAAUUUCCAGUGUAGCAGUGAAAUGCGUAGAUAUUGGAAGGAACACCAGUGGCGUAAGCGGCUAUCUGGACGAGUAUUGACGCUGAGGCACGAAAGCGUGGGGAUCAAACAGGAUUAGAAACCCUGGUAGUCC
This 425-nucleotide ribosomal RNA is filed under the name uncultured bacterium. RNAcentral describes it as "partial 16S ribosomal RNA". It matches the Rfam family "Bacterial small subunit ribosomal RNA", at positions 354 to 796 of the family's 1533-position model. The record is from RNAcentral.